CUAGACUCAGACUGUUCUAGUGCAAACUCAAAUUCCCCUUCCUUCGUUUCCGCCUCUCGUGAUCAGUAUGGGUCAAAUCUUAAGGAUGAUGAAGAGUAAUUAUCUGAAAACGAGUGAUGGAACCGAGCUCUACACCACAUAAGAACCAAUCAACGCAUGAGAUGGAUUCCAUGGGAGGUAAGAGUGAUGGAGUGUAGGGCGCAUUGUCCGGAUGAAGUGGAAACGCAGGCUACUCUAGAAUCACCACAUUGGACCAAUAUGCUUAGCCACGACAAAAUGCAGAUUGAAGGAACGUGCAGCAGAACUCACAAAGCAAUCAUGGGAGAACAAACCACGCUGGACUGGAAGGUUUCUACUAGAACAAAAUUGAUGAAGGAAAACAUUAAUAUUAUCCAGUUAUUCAACAAGACAAUUAUUUUUUUGUUAUGUAGUGAAAGGUCCAAUCAGGUGGCUUAUGCAUUGUAAUGUAACACGGAUAAAUGUGAAAGCAAACUAGUUGUUGGGUUGAGGAUAGAGUUUAAGUUUCGUCAGAAACUUAAUAAAAUCUGAUUCAAGGAUUGAUAAUUGA
Papaver somniferum (opium poppy) is the source of this 568-nucleotide long non-coding RNA. RefSeq lists it as uncharacterized. The record is from RefSeq and is a predicted model, not a curated record. The transcript is spliced from 2 exons. Lineage: Eukaryota; Viridiplantae; Streptophyta; Magnoliopsida; Ranunculales; Papaveraceae.